UCAGUAACACGUAGUCAACUAACCUGUGGACGUGGAUAAUCUCGGGAAACUGAGGAUAAACCACGAUAGAUAACGGUGCCUGGAAUGGCCCAUUGUCCAAACAGUUUACUGCCACGGGAUGGGACUGCGGCUAUCAGCUUGUUGGUGAGGUAAUGGCCCACCAAGGCUAUAACAGGUACGGGCUCUGAGAGGAGAAGCCCGGAGAUGGGUACUGAGACACGGACCCAGGCCCUAUGGGGCGCAGCAGGCGAGAAACCUUAGCAAUGUGCGAAAGCACGACUGGGUCAGUCCGAGUGAUUUCUGAUAAAGGAAUCUUUUGCUAGUCCUAAAAGCACUAGCGAAUAAGGGGUGGGCAAGUCUGGUGCCA
Molecule: ribosomal RNA, 367 nt
Filed under: unidentified archaeon
Lineage: Archaea
Description: bacterial SSU rRNA
Rfam family: Archaeal small subunit ribosomal RNA
Source: RNAcentral